This is a long non-coding RNA of Carassius gibelio (silver crucian carp), 1898 nucleotides long. RefSeq lists it as uncharacterized. Lineage: Eukaryota; Metazoa; Chordata; Actinopteri; Cypriniformes; Cyprinidae. The transcript has 2 exons. The record is from RefSeq and is a predicted model, not a curated record.
AAGAGACCCAAAAGCUGCAUCUGUCGCCGGCUUACAUGAAAGUUGAGCUCACGAGGAGCAGUGGUCACAUCGGUUCUCGCUUGCAGUAGAUCUAAGAUGAAAAGGGUUGAGGCUUGUUCCUCUUGUACGGUGUUUUAUAGAGCAGGAUCUCGUGGACUGUUGGAGAAAUACAGUAGGUGCCGUUCGAUGCGUUGCCUGAUGGAUGUGACAUGCUAGUAGUCUCGAGCGAGCUAAGUAAAGGGCAGGACAUGGCUGGCUCCUGCCCAGCGUUACUGUGACAGCCAGGAUGUCGGUUCAGGACCUUUGGUGAAGUCGGGGUCAUGGUAAACAAUCAUGCCAGCACACAAGUGGGUUUUAGCGCGCCCCUUUCAUUCACGUGCAGAGAAAGGUGCCCCUCCCCUCAGCACACAGCUUCAAUUCCUCUGGCUUCCCGAGGGAAAAUACUGCCUUUCUCUAAAUAAACCCACUAUAUCUCUCUCUCUUUCACCCUCUCUCUCUCACACACACAUGCACACACUCCAGUAGGAGAGCAAAGCUUCGCGGGACGUGACCUCGGCUCUCCUUUAGGUAAAGCGGCACUCCUGGCUAUGCGCAAGACCUGUGACUUCUUUUCUCAGCUUGAUCCUACUGGGAGAAGGCAGGAGAUGCAUAUGUAAUCCUGAUGUGUCUGUAUGUGUGAAAGAGAAAGACUGAGGGAGUUCUUUUGUUCUUUUUUUUUUCUUGGACCUUAUUUAUUACAUGCUGAUUCUACUAUGUAAAGGAGCAAAGUGCAAAUAGUUCAAGUUGUUUUUUUUUUUUAAUAUGCAUUAACAGAAUAAAGUCAAUCCCUCUGAUGGAAGCUGGAGCAAGGGUUACGUAUAAUUCAAGCUGGCUUAUAAACAAUAAUAACUCAUUUAUGAUAUGUAUAUAUUAACAGCCUCUUUCACUACGCUUACAUCAUGUGGAGACAGGAUAUAGGGAGACAGAGUUAUGUUACAUGUUAUUUUGUGAAGAAGAGAUUAUUAUAAUACAGAUUAAAUCUAUGUUUAAUUGUUGAAUUAAUAUAAAAUAAUAUAUUAUAUACUAAUUCUAAAUAAUAUAAUUAGUUGUGAUUGUGAUAAUAAAGUACAAACAAAUGAAAAAUUACCACCAUAUUUUACUUCUGCUGAGAAAAAUGCACUGAAACAAUUGCUCGUGCAUUAUUUUCAUUUUAGAGAGAGAUAGAGAGAAAAAAAAAACAUUCUACUAAAUAUAAUCUACUCUCAAUUAUGGUUGGCUUUGUAUUUUUUAAGCAGUUUUAUUUCCACAAUUUAAUCAAUAAAUAGUACCAUAUUUAAUUGCAAGCUUUAAACAGAUUUCAGUAUGUAAAAAGGCAAAGCAAAUAAGGCAACAUUGAAUUUUUCUAAUUCAUAAUGCAUUAAAAAUACAAUAUAUGGAAUGAAAUGAAAAAGUUACAUUGAAGGGGUCAGUGUUUAUUAAAUAUUAAAAGCUGAACACAACUAUAUUGAAUGACAUGUGAAUAGAGGUGAAUUCUAGCAUUUCUUCAGUCAUGUUAUUUUGAAUCCAGUUGGCAUGCAAAUAUUGGACUAAUAUAAGAUGCCUUGUUUACCUCAGCUUUGUUAACCUGUUCUGCUUUUAAUGUCAUUUGACUAAAGGAAAACCACUGGGCCAGUCAGUAUAAACGUCAGUACUUUGAAAUAAAGUAUAACAGACUUUAGGGGUCAUCCCUUCAACCCACAUAUCUUGUUUGCUGUCAUAUGUAUUAUAGUUGUCUGUUUUUAAUUGUGAUAUUUACCAUCCUCAAUAAGAGUUUGAUAAGCUGAACAGGGGUCCAAACAAUGACCAAUGUUGUCGUAAGGUAUACAAAAUGCCUUCACAAUGUUUUCCUGUUACAAUUAAAGAUGAUUUAUUAAACCAUA